AAAUGGUUACUGGUGACAAUUACUGUGAAAACUGCAAAAGCAAUUACUUUGGAAUGUGGAAUACUUGGUUCAUUCACUGAUGCUACAAAACCAAACAUCAUGGAAGGAAAAACAUUUCGUGGCCUGUCAGAUGCAGAGAGAGAUGAAAUUGCUGAUAGGAUAUCGGUAAUGGGACAGUCAUCUCCCAAUGACAAAUUAUUGCUAGUACAAGCAUUGAGGAGGAAAGGUGAUGUUGUUGCUGUAACUGGUGAUGGAACAAAUGAUGCUCCUGCCCUUCUUGAGAUGGCGUUGCAGAUAAAGGCUGGAUCGAAGUAACUGGUGGGAUCUUUAUAUCAGGGUUGAUUACUUAUUAUGUUUAAAAUUUUUCAGACUUGGUAUUUUAUGUAAAAAUGAUAUUCUAGAAUUUUAGACAACGUUUAUAAUUGUGUUUUGCU
Long non-coding RNA from Vigna radiata var. radiata (mung bean), 434 nucleotides. RefSeq lists it as uncharacterized. NCBI's taxonomy places the organism in Eukaryota, Viridiplantae, Streptophyta, Magnoliopsida, Fabales, Fabaceae. The transcript is spliced from 3 exons. The record is from RefSeq and is a predicted model, not a curated record.